This 105-nucleotide small nuclear RNA is filed under the name Catagonus wagneri (Chacoan peccary). The record is from RNAcentral. Lineage: Eukaryota; Metazoa; Chordata; Mammalia; Artiodactyla; Tayassuidae.
GUGCUCACUUCAGCAGCACAUAUAUUAAAAUUGGAAUGUCAUAGAGAUGAUUAGCUUGGCCUGUCCAAGGAUGACACACAAACUUGUGAUGCCUUCCAUAUUUUU